RNAcentral lists this ribosomal RNA (252 nucleotides) under uncultured prokaryote. RNAcentral's name for it is "partial 16S ribosomal RNA". It matches the Rfam family "Bacterial small subunit ribosomal RNA", at positions 524 to 775 of the family's 1533-position model. The record is from RNAcentral.
UACGGAGGAUGCGAGCGUUAUCCGGAUUUAUUGGGUUUAAAGGGUGCGUAGGCUGGUAAUUAAGUCAGUGGUGAAAUACUCCGGCUCAACCGGGGGGCUGCCGUUGAUACUGGUUACCUUGAGUUUAGAUGAUGUGGGCGGAAUGUGUCAUGUAGCGGUGAAAUGCAUAGAGAUGACACAGAACACCGAUAGCGAAGGCAGCUCACAAAGCUAUUACUGACGCUGAUGCACGAAAGCGUGGGGAUCAAACAU